CCUACGGGUGGCAGCAGUGAGGAAUAUUGGUCAAUGGGCGGAAGCCUGAACCAGCCAAGUCGCGUGAGGGAAGAAGGUACUGCGUAUUGUAAACCUCUUUUGCCAGGGGACAAAAGCGGCCACGUGUGGCCGUAAGCGUAUACCUGGCGAGAAAGCAUCGCCUAACUCCGUGCCAGCAGCCGCGGUAAUACGGAGGAUGCGAGCGUUAUCCGGAUUUAUUGGGGUUAGAGGGUGCGCAGGCGGCGUUUCAAGGCAGCGGUAAAAUGUCGUGGCUCAACCCCGGCCGGCCGUUGAGACUGGCGUGCUCGAGUGGGAGAGAGGUAUGCGGAAUUCGUGGUGUAGCGGUGAAAUGCAUAGAUAUCACGAAGAACCCCGAUUGCGAAGGCAGCAUACCGGAUCCAAACUGACGCUGAGGCACGAAAGCGUGGGUAUCGAACAGGAUUAGAUACCCGAGUAGUC
RNAcentral lists this ribosomal RNA (459 nucleotides) under uncultured bacterium. RNAcentral's name for it is "partial 16S ribosomal RNA". It matches the Rfam family "Bacterial small subunit ribosomal RNA", at positions 338 to 795 of the family's 1533-position model. The record is from RNAcentral.